UACGGAAGGGGCAAGCGUUGUUCGGAAUCAUUGGGCGUAAAGGGCGCGUAGGUGGUUCUGUAUAUCUACCGUGAAAGCAUACAGCUCAACUGUAUUUUGUCGGUAGAAACUGCAGGACUUGAGGCUGGGAGGGGCUGGUGGAAUUCCCUGUGUAGCGGUGAAAUGCGUAGAGAUGGGGGAGAACACUCGUGGCGAAGGCGGCCAGCUAGACCAGUUCUGACACUGAGGCGCGACAGCGUGGGGAGCAAACAGG
RNAcentral lists this ribosomal RNA (253 nucleotides) under uncultured bacterium. RNAcentral describes it as "partial 16S ribosomal RNA". It matches the Rfam family "Bacterial small subunit ribosomal RNA", at positions 524 to 776 of the family's 1533-position model. The record is from RNAcentral.